Molecule: ribosomal RNA, 253 nt
Filed under: uncultured bacterium
Lineage: Bacteria
Description: partial 16S ribosomal RNA
Rfam family: Bacterial small subunit ribosomal RNA
Source: RNAcentral
GACAGAGGGUGCAAACGUUGUUCGGAAUUACUGGGCGUAAAGCGCGUGUAGGCGGCUCGGCAAGUCGGGUGUGAAAGCCCUCGGCUUAACCGAGGAACUGCGUCUGAUACUGGAUGGCUUGAGUUUGGGAGAGGGAUGCGGAAUUCCAGGUGUAGCGGUGAAAUGCGUAGAGAUCAGGAGGAACACCCGUGGCGAAGGCGGCCCUCUGGCUCGACCCUGAUGCUGAGGCGCGAAAGCGUGGGGAGCGAACGGG